This 2779-nucleotide unclassified non-coding RNA is filed under the name Hevea brasiliensis (rubber tree). The record is from RNAcentral. Lineage: Eukaryota; Viridiplantae; Streptophyta; Magnoliopsida; Malpighiales; Euphorbiaceae.
AUGUCUUCUGACACUUGUUCCAAGUUCGGAGGAUUCCACUGCAUGUUUUCCAAGAAAUGGCAUUAUAAUUACUGCUAUUUUAUUUUUAACGACCAAAAUGGCUGACUUCCUGUAUUUAGGCGCUGCUUAUUUCAAUUUUCUAUCAGAAGUAUACAUUAUUAGGCUAAUCUUGCAGCUACAUUCUGCGCUUAAACAUUGGAGUUUUUAAUCUAGAUUGUCAAAUGCCACCAUUAAUUCUAAGUCCUUGUCCAUUUGUGAUACAGACUUGCUUUCUUUUUAAUCACCAUUCAUAAUACAGACAAUUCAUACCUUCGGUGCUAAGUCCUUGUCUACCAUUCGUGCACGAACACCCUCACAAAAAUCAGUGGAGAUCUGCUUGAAUAUUCCCUGUAAGGACAUUCGAUAUUCACGAACCAAGCAUUGAUCGAGUGUUUGAAAUCUACCUUCUCUUAUAGAUCUUAAGGAAACCUUCAAGCUCAAUGGUGAUGCCUCUUUAAGUCUUCUUAGAGUGGAAUUGCAAAAUGCAUCAUUGGUUCCAGAAGCCUCGCUUUCCUAAAAGUAGUGGUUAUUUCAGCAAAACAACUUGUUAUGAUGUUAGGGUGAUUUGACUUGCUACUUUGGUGAACGCAUUUCUAAAAGAAGAGUUGACUCCAUCCCAUGAUUAACAAGUGCUCCAGAAAGUUUCAAAGCAAGGCAAUGCACAAAUAUCCAAGACUCCAAAUCUGUUCCAAUCUUGUCACGAAUGUGAAACACCUCAAGGUAAACAGCUAAACUGAUGAGAAAAUUACCACCCCCUUAACCGGAAUCUCCUAAACUGAAUGCUAUUCCAGUGGAGAAUAUUUUGUUUCCACUCCCUCAUUUUCUUUGUUAGCAAUGGGAAAGAUAUAGAAAGAUCAAAACCUUCUGAAAUAAAUGUUGUGGAAAAUAUACUAUGCACAUAUAAACGGGUUUGCGAUUUUGAAAUCUAAACUAACAAAAACAGUGAGACUAUCAAAAUAUAUGCUUACCAGAGCAUCAAAUAUUUCUUCAACAGUGUCAUGGCUGAAACAUUUAUCAACAGUUUCAAUCCUAAAUAAAUGAGACAAGGGAUCAGUUAACUUGAUGAUUAUAUCAAUAAAUUAGUUAUGCUCUGUGUAAUUUUCAAGUUAAAAAGAUUAGACAUUUUCUUUGUCUGCUGUGAAAGGUAAAUGAAAACCAAUUUGUUUGUUUCCAAAAAUAACCUAUCACUACAAUGUCCAUGACUCGUUGUUUCACAUAGUAAAACAAACCUGUGAAUUACACUCAUCUUAUCUGGAUGGACAAGGUCACCAUAUUUUUCUAAAGUUGCUUCAAUGACAGAAGGAUCAUCUGUGAACAGUUUCCCAAGCUGUUGUUCAAUUAAUUGAAGCCUUUCACUAUAUGAAUAGUGUGUAGCUAGGCCACAAGCAAUCAUUUCUGCGCCAUUGAGGUUUUCUCCACUUAAAGCUAAGUAUUCCCCUGCUGAAUGUGUAAUUUGUGCAAUAUCCCUCAAAGCAACUACAAGAGCCAUCAAGCACUCAUUUAAGAGAAGGUUGCCAAAGCAACUCAAGGGACACUAGGUGACCAGGCAGAUGAGAGAGAAAGAAGGAUGCACCAGCAUCAGGGUGGAAUCCAAUAAGAGUUUCAGGGGUGGCAAAAGCAGUUUUAUUAGUUGCAACUCGGAAUGUACCAGGGAUUGAAACUCCAGCACCACCACCCAUGGUAAUGCCAUCCAAAAUAGCCACCUACAGUGUGAUUAUUAAUGCAUGAGCUAAAAAGAACAGAAGUCCUAUUCUAUCGGAACAAAUGGUAGUUUGACACUACAUACAACUCAUUGGUAUUGUGAAAAAUGUUCUGCUAUACAAGGAAAUAUCCACACAUUGAAACAUGAAGAGAUGCAUUCAUUGAUAGCUUAAUAUAAAAUGCCAAAAUGGGUAGUAGCGUGUACAAGUUGUUAAUGAUUUGAGAUUGUGGAUACUCACAUGCGGCUUCAAAUAUGUACCUAGUUCAUAUAUGAAACUAUAUAUUGUCCGGAAAAAUUCCUUACAGUCUUCCAACUUCCCUUGGUUUAUCAAGUGAUAAAUAGAAACUAUGUCUCCACCUGCACAAAAUGCCCUGCCACUGCCCUUCACAGAUUCAAAACAACGCCCGGUGUCCCUUAGCAUAAAAUUGAAAUUAAUUUAAGCAAUUAAACAAAAAAAAAAAGCCAAUAAGCAAACGUUUUAACGUUACUUUCAUCGCCACAAAACCAAUAUCUGGAUUAUCCUCCCAAGAUUUAUACAAUUUUUGCAAUCUCGCACACAUAUUCGUAUUAAGAGCAUUGAGGGCGGAAGGUCUGUUGAGAAUGGCGGUUCUCGAAUAACCUUUGCCUUCAACUAAUACCUGAAUAAACUAGUAAUAGCAAGACUGUUAAUUAAACACAAAAUGAAUUGAAAGUCAGCGAGGAUGGUAUGAAAUGAGAAGGAAAAUUAACAACUUGAUUCUUGAGGUCGUCAUCGAUUGAGCGCUCGCUUGGAAGAGAAGAGAGGUUUCCGUAGUGGUAAUGGGGAAGGGAUCGAAAACUAUCAGCUCUGCUCCACCUUAUAAACAACGCCGCGGCUGACUUCAAUCCCUGCAUUACUGUCUUCUAUUUCUUCCAACUCUCUCUAUUCCUUUUCUUCUCAGUCUCUUCCCACGAGGGAUUAUACUGCUUGCUUUGCUCUGCCUGGUUUUGCAAGGGAACCGGAGAGUCUACAGCACAGUGACAGGGCGCAUUUCUGCACGGUUUGGAUGCAGGACUACG